CACGUAGGGGGCGAGCGUUGUUCGGAAUUACUGGGCGUAAAGGGCAUGUAGGCGGCCUGAUAAGCCUGGCGUGAAAGUCGCCGGCUCAACCGGUGGAUUGCGUCGGGAACUGUCGGGCUCGAGUCACGGAGGGGGAGUUAGAAUUCCUGGUGUAGGGGUGAAAUCUGUAGAGAUCAGGAAGAAUACCAGUGGCGAAGGCGGCCACCUGGACAGUAACUGACGCUGAGGCGCGAAAGUGUGGGUAGCAAACAGGAUUAGAAACCCCAGUAGU
RNAcentral lists this ribosomal RNA (271 nucleotides) under uncultured bacterium. Its description in RNAcentral is "partial 16S ribosomal RNA". It matches the Rfam family "Bacterial small subunit ribosomal RNA", at positions 524 to 794 of the family's 1533-position model. The record is from RNAcentral.